UUUUUUUUUUUUUUUUGGUCGAUACGAUAGAAUCCUAUAACCUAAGCUAACCUAUUCUAGGGGGAGGGGAGGAAACUCGACGUGAGUAGAAACUCCAUCGAAAUUGGUCAAUGAAUACCGUUACAUAUUGUGACAAUUUUUGUGGGAGGUAAGGUUCGAAUUCUUGACCUCCCGCACCACCAAACCUAAGAAGGCUUGGGAUGACCACUGGGCCAGUGGCAGCAGCUCCAUUGGCUACCGUGUGGCAUUCUCGAUAAAAAGGCAUUCUAGCUUCUUUUGUGUACAAACCCUAGGCAUCUUUUGUUGGUCAUAAAAGCGACAGCCUUCAGAUCUUCUAUUGCUUCUGUUCUUUUAUGUGUUUGUUGGGAUUUUUGGGCUACGUUAUGUUGCCGUGCUGCUCAUCCAAACCUAAUCCAUUAGCUUAAUUAUACAUAAGAGCCGCUAAUAAGAAGUGAACUAACUUCACCUCUUGGAAGUAACUUAGCUAAACUUAUAUGCUUGGGUGUGAGUGUGCACGAAUACGUACAUACAUACAUAUUGCAUGUCCUGUUGUAUUACAACUCCCAAAUUUUUUCUUGGACUAACAACACUUUGCCCCCCUUAAAUCUAUGGGAUGGUAAUACUUUACCGUUCUAUACUUCAAAAAUAUACAUUUUGUUCCCUCUCCCCUCUCCCCAAAUGAAUUAUGUUUUGUACUUCUAAUUUAGACCAACCCAUGUGCAUAUUUUUCUUCCCAAAUUAUCCCCACGCUUCCUAAUUUCUCAAUUGUUAACUUUUAUAUUGUUGUAUUUUCUUGUUAUGUAUUCACCAUAAUAUUCCGUUGUUGCAUGCUAUGAUAUUAAAUUAUAGUAUAAAUUAAAUACGAAAACUCUCCCAACUAUCGCCUUAUUUGCACCUUUUUCACUACCCAGUGGGUGCUCCCAUUGUGACUAUUAUCAUUUUUUAUUUGACGUAAUUUUUAAAAAUAUGUAUAACACUAAUAACAGUCACAAUUAUCAGUCUUUUGAAUAUUUAGUCCAAAAUAACAAUAGCAAUUAUCAUUCAUUUUUUCACAUUUGAUACUAUGCAAAAUCUAAAUCAACAUACAUGGACUUUUUUACAAACAAUAUGCAACAUGCGACAAAUAAAAAGUCCAGCAAAUUGACAUAAAAAAAAAUCAUACUUUUACUACAAACAUAAAAAAUUACCAUGAAAGGGUACAUUAUUUUAUCACAACAAAAUACCAUUUUAUUAAUUUUAAAUUACGAUACACACACACAUAUACAUACAUACAUACAUAUUAGUAUUAUAAUACAUUAUAUAUCAUGUGGGAGCAAGGGGCAGGUGGAGUCCUAUUUAAACCGAUGCUAGAUUAUACAUAAGUCUACAUAGUAAGUUAAUUAAAUUGCUCUCCAUCAUCACAUUAUGUAGUAGCAGAAUAAUUUGAUGAAUAUAUAAUAAGAAAAUGCAACAAACUAAAAGUUGACUAUCGAGAAAAUAGGAAGACUGGGGUAAAUUUGAGAAGAAAAAUGUGCACAUGGGUUUGUCAAAAUGAAAAGACAAACAUAAUUCACUUGGGAAACGGGGAUAGGGGGCAAAAUGUAUAUUUUUGAAAUUCAGGGUGGUAAAGUGCUACCACUCCAUGGUUUUUUUUUUUUUUGGGGGGGGGGGGGGGGGGGGAAGUGUUGUUAACCCUUUUUCUUUAUACUCUUCCCAUAAUGAUAAAUUAUGAUUGGUGUGAUCUACCUGCAUUCUAUUGCAAUGGCACAAAAAAAAAAAAGAAGAAGGGUACCUUUUGUAGUAUCGCUAACCAACAAUUAAUUUCCCAUGAAAAUUCUAAAAAUGAAAAAAAAAGAAAGCUAUAGCUUCUAAAUAAGAUUCUCAGUUUCAUAAGGCAUUUGGAGUUGAGUGACAAGUAAAUCUACCAACAUCUUCCGUAAUCACCUUUCUUAUCAAUCCUUAGAUGAAUAUAUUUUAUUCAAACGCUUAAUUUCCAUACACAAAGCACUGAAAUUCCCCCCCCCCCCCUACCACCAAACCAAAAAAAAAAUAAAAAAUCAGGCCUCAACUAAUUGAAUGUGUGGAUUGAUCUCGGUGCAUUUUCCCUUCCACAACAGUUAUUUUCAGGUUCAAAAUUCUAAUUGCAUGUCCAAAUGGGUUUUGGUGCAUUUCUUCUUGAUUUUCCCAUGCAACAGUUAUUUUUCCAUAUAGAAUAUCGAGAAUGAAAUCAACACAUCUAGAUCGGCCAAAGCUGUGCAAAAUUAUACUCGUCUUUUCACAAUGUCAAUUAGUGUGUAAUUAUAAACCACGAGCCUUUGAGUUGAUGACCAUCACCAAAGCAAUAAAACUUAAGGUUGAGAGACAACGGUUCAAAACUUGCCUCUUACCAAUUUGGUCAUCAAAGCAUUAAAACUUAAGGUAGAGAGACAACGGUUCAAAACUUGCCUUUCACCAAUUGCCACAUUAAAAGGCAUUAAAACUUAUGGUUGAGAGGCAACGGUUCAAAACUUGUCUCUCACCAAUUGCCACAUUAAAAGUGAUUUUGCUGAAAAAGUCCGAUCAUGGUUCAAUCCCCUUCGAAUUAUCCCUAGACCUCCUUAGGUCCGUCCCCUCGUCCUAAUAUGGGAUAGAUUAAAUUAUACAACAAUUAUCGUCUCAGAAAAAAAAAAUUAGUGUGCAAUUAUAAUUUGUAAUAUUGUAUGAUCACGCAACUUUUGCAAUAAAACAAUUUUCACCUAUUAUUCCAUAAACUUUUUUCUCUUCAUUAUUACCAUUUAUUGGCUUGGUCAUGAAAAUGGCUUUCCAGAGCCAAAAUCGAACUAGGAUCGACUUUACUAUUCUAUUGGUCUUACAAGCUCAAUUUUACCACUGUUAUCCGAUCUGCCACUGCUCAUCAGCUCUUUCAGUUGUUCAUUACUGACAGAAGAUAGAUGACUUCAGGCAAAAAAGCUGCUAAAGUCUAAAAGCUGAUUCCUCAUUUUACUGCAGAUGUUUAUCUUUACAUUGGAUGACUGUCCUACAGGAAAGAAAUGUAGUUAGCCCCAAGAAUCAAAUAUUACAAAAAGAAUGCCAUUUCAGGCGAUGGGAUAAAGGGAAAAAUGCUUUCUCCAAAUAAUUCAAACAAUAACAGGAGAAGACGUCCAGAAUCUAAGUCAUCUUUCCAAGCCUGAUUAAGCAAAGCUGGUGUCCUCAAAAUACGCUUUUCUAACUGAUCUCUUUUUUGUCUUCUCUCUGAGUGACUCUCCCUAAUAUCUUUAGGAGAUGAUCGGCCUGCACUGGAAUCGCCUAAAGCAGCGGGAUCCUUGUCAGUUUCCAUAUCAGAAGAGUUGUUCGAUAAUGGGACCAAGGCACCAUCAUUUCCAAUUUUCUCAGCAGGUGGCUGCUCCUCUAAUAGAUCUGCAGGUGUCCUACGUUUAUCUUCUUAAUUUAAGAAAGAUAAAAGUCAUGAUAAGAACAGAAUUAAGCGCUAUUGUAAGAAAAUGUAGAUAAAAUUGUAGGUAGUGAAGUACAAGUGCUCUAAAUCACAGUUAUCAGUCAAGCAGAGCCAUAAAAUGAAUCAAGAUACAAAGUAAAACAUUAUUUAUUACGGCAAUUCAUGAUUAAAAUGAUACUCUCACUGUGCAGGUUAUUGAUGACUUGUAGCAAAUUUCAAUGAGAAUGCUGGCUACUAAGGAAAUAAAAAGGACACGUUAAAAUCUAAAGUGAAAAACUUUUGGCCUCUCCCUUGAGCAGAAUACAAUUUGGCUUCAAGAUGUAAGGUUAGUCAAACAAAUGGCUGCGCACCUUAUACAAGUAAGAUUUAUGGAGGUCUUCAAACAACAGGAACACUAAACUUGCAAAGCACACGACUCAAACAUACAAAGAGACUUACUGGCUGAACAUGAAUGUAUGAUCCUGAAAUUCGUUUUCCACACAGUGCUUGCAGGAGGUGAUGGCAUGGAUGGAAACAUCUUCAGCCUAUCAUAUAUGCUUUGACCUGCAGCAGACUGGAGAAAGCAACUAUGUAAACUAGCUUUCUCAAGGGUGCUAGAGAAAGCAACACAACUAUUCUAUUGAUACAAACCAGCAACGCCCCAUAAACACGCCAUGCUUCAUGUCUUUUCAUUUCAUUUUUCUGCUUUUCAAGAAGCAUCUCUGGCUCAAGAAGUCUCAGAUAGGUCUCCAGGUUUGGCACGACAAGAAGGCGGACCUAUCAAAAGUUGAGAAGUAUGACCAACUGUGGACUGACCGAAAUUAUAAAACUUAACAUAGAAACCACAAAUAACUUAUAUGGAAGUAUUCAUCUGGUCAUCCUACAUUUUCUUGGGAAAAAUGCAGAAUAGCAGUCCCUCAUUGUCUCCUCAUGUAACCAAGCUAAUCAUUUCUACAUUACGAGGAUGCAGUAACGAACUUCAUGAAUUGUCCUCUGUGUGGUUGGAAUAUAAUAUCUUUCUUCUUAUAUAUGUAUUUCAAUGUAAAACCAGGAUUCAACCCAGUAUAAAGGAGAUGUUGGUAUUAUAAGAAAAACAAAAUAAGCUUCAAAAACAUAUAUAUAUAUAUAUAUCAAAAGCAGAAAAAAAUUUAUACAUGUAUGAAGAAUCUGCAUAUACAAGAUAGAUAUAUGGUAGUGAAAACAAAUCUCCUAGAUUUACCAUACCUAAUUCGAGCCACUAUACUCAAUUUAGAUCUACAAACAGAAUGCCAUCUAUCUUUUAAUUUUGUCUUAAUCAUCCCUCUGAAAACUGUGUUUCCAGAAGGUACAAAACUGUACUAGUUAACACCAUAGACAGUUGAAAUCACACAAUGAAAAACCAUUGGAAGGCUAAAAUGAGUUUUACUUGAACUUAUACAUAGUAAAUUGAAACUUACAGACAUUCAAUUUAAAGAAAGUAAAUCUAGUUCCAGUUAUCCAUAUUUAUGUGAAUACAAUAAAUUGCUGAGACUACAUCAUGACAGGAGAAAAAGGAAAGAACACCCAAGUAAAACAUAUUGAAGAAGAUUGUAUUCAGUUCUAUUGCAUUGAGUUUAGUCUGCCCCAUCCAAAAUUUGAUCUGAUAUCUUGAUGGGUCUACUGAUAGCAGCAACUUCUCAAUAGUUAACUGUUCACCUAACAUGAAUCGUGAAUUAUGUGAACAUGUGAAAACUAAGAACUCUGUCUGAAAUUAAAUUGUCAACCGUGCCAUUGCCAAGGUUUUCGUUGAAAUUUUCCUUGCAAAGAUGAGAAAGCCAGAAGUUGGACAAGCAAAUGUCCCAUUCAGGAUAUGAUGGCUUUCUUGUCAUCUUUUGUUUUUCAUGCAUAUUACAGGAUAAAAAGAUUGGCAUUAAAGUCAUUUUAGUUCAAAAGAAGUUCUUAGUGCACCAAGGUAAAACUAAAUAGUAGACCUUUAUAAGCAAUAGAAUUUCUCUAAGUUUAGUUUAGCAUUAAAGCCAAAAGUUUUGGCUGGGGUUUAAAGAAAAGAGACUUCUUCCAUUAAAGGCUUUGUAUCUAUCCUUCUCCAUAAUACUUCAAUGUCAUAAAUUAGCCAAUUUCUCCGAUGUAUCAUGAAAGUUCAUAGCACAGAGGAAUGAAAUUACUGAAAAAGAAGUAAAGAUGGGGCUAGUAGCAAGAUGGGUAUAAGAAGAGAACUACGAAAGGAAUGUGUUUGUGCAUGAAAAUGAGAAAAAGGAAUACCACAUUGGGUCCAAGUGCAGCUAAUCCUUGAAUAGCACCAUAAUGUUGAGUUAUUGCUCGUUUAGGAUCCAAAAAUGCAUGGAGCAAAGUCUUGGUUAAUCGUGUCUGAAGAUUGUUGUAGACAUGGGAAAACCUGAAAACAUAUGAAUUUAAAGAUUAAAACAUCAACCACACAACGUUUCAAGAGUGGGCUAUUUCCAAUUCACAUAUGGAGGUUUGCUUCAGUUUGUAGAAGGCAAAGGUGACCUAUACUAAUAGCAUUGACAUAAAAUCAGUUACAUUUGUCAACCAAAACUUGUAUAACUAUUGUCAAGGACAUCUUGUCAAUCUCAAAUUUCUUCAAAAAGCUUCAGUCAAUCCAUUCCAUAUUACCUUUUGGUCAUUUAUGAAUUCUGUAUUUUCCAAUGAACACAUGGUCAAUAAUGAUGCUUGUUAGGUUUAAGUCUCCAUGCAGGUUCCAUUAGCCUGGUUAAACUGGAAAUAUCACUUAUAAGCACUGCUCAAAGAGCACAAGGUUCAAAUGUCAUCCAAACACAACUGGAUAAACAUCUAAUGUUUAUUAUCUAGAAGUUUUGAAAAGCAUAUGAAUUCCAAAGCAUUAGAAAGUAGCUAAUAUUUGAAAGCAAUUCAUCCUUCUUUUCAGCUACCAAGACAUAGACCUAGCAAUCUUGAGGUGAUGAAUCUUCUAAACCAUAGAAAGUAAGAUUCCAAUGCAAGGAGUAAGCAUAUUAGAUGUCACCUCAUCACUCAUCAAAUGAAAAAUAGGAAUUCAAUAUGGGUAUUCCUUGCCAAACUCUAACCAUGAUCCUUUCAUGUUGUCACUAGCUAAUUAAAUUAAAAAGUACAUUCCAGAGAAAUCCUCUAGAAAAUCCCUACGAUAUUAAUGUUAUAAGGAAUGCUAACUCAAUCGAAUUAUUAGGGUGCAGAAUUCAAAGAAGUGUUUCCCACCGUUUGCAUAUGGAGGCUACUACAGUCGCAGUAAAAUCUCUAAGUUCCCAGUGGUUAUCUGCAAGUCGAUUCCCCAGCCUCUUGGCAACAAGACAGGUGACAACUGAUGGCAUCAAUUGGUGUAGCUAAUAAAAGAAGCAAAAGUCUCAGUAAAUAGAUAGACAGAUAUCAAAGGGCAUAACAAAUAUCUACAUUAUGUUGAGUUGUAGAAAUGAAUAAUAAUCUAGCAUUAAGUUACUCAAGUUUCCAAAGUAUUUCAGUAGUCCAAGAAUCACAACAAUACCUCUGUGUGUUUUUUGAAAAACCUUACUGAAGAUUUUGUGUUUCAAAGACAUAUUUGGUUGCAGUGUUAUUAGGUUUUUUCAGGUUGUUUUUAAGAACUCUCACCUCCCCUUAACAGCCGCUACCUUCCCCACUAUUUCCACCCUCUUCCCCCCUCCCCCCCCCCCCCCAAAAAAAAAAAAACAGCCCCACUUUUGUCCCCUACCUGCCACCCCCAGUCCCCCACCCAGAGCACCUCCUCCAAUGAAGGAGGGGCACCCCCGCCGGGGGGGGGGGCGCGAAGAGGGGGAAAGGGGCUGCCCAGAUGUGGGGACGGUGGUGGAAGGAGAGGGGUGAGGGCAGGAUGGUAGUGGCAGAAGUUGAAGGGGUGAUAGUGUGGUAGAAUUUUUUUUUGGGUAUUUUUGGAUUUUUUCUGUGCCUUUUGGGAUGUAGCUGUAAAUCUUGUGGGUAAAAACAUGCUUUUCAAAACAUUAGAUCCAAGCAGACUCACUGGUUUCCAGUAGAUAAGAUCUCACUUAUGUGCACUAUUCCUAUGUCCUUUGGUUCCUCUGGCUUUUUGUACCACCUAAAUAUCAGAGUUUUGUUUAAAUCCCUUUCACCCAAGAAAUAGUUUUAUCCAUCAUCUGUCAAAUUCAAAGUCAAGUUUUGAAUCAAUCCAAAGGCAUCACUCUUUCCAGAAGAGAACAUCAUAAUAAACAAAACUAGCAAAUGAAUCAAGUACACUUACGAUGAGAAAAUUAAAUGUUCCCAUCUUUACUGAAACCUGAUUUUAUCAUAAGCAAUCAAUUUGAACACAAGCUUUAAGAAACUAUAUCUGCAAAAACUCACAUAAGGUUCUAUAUGUAUAUGAGGAUUUUGAAGUAGGCUCCAAACAAGACGCAUCAAAGCAAAGAGUAGAGGGAAGUUGCUCAAACCAUGAGAAACCUGACAACAUAGUAGAAUCAGAAAAAAUAAAAUAAAAUAAAAUAAAAAGAGAUGUAAUAGACUUUUCUCAAAGUUAGCUCCACUGAAAGAGCAUGUCAAGAAUACCUCAUCUGCAAUGAAGCAUGUGAAAUAAGGAACCAAAGGAUGAAGCCCAGAGUCUGUUGCCAAACUUGCUAAAGCUUCCUUGAAAAGGACCGAGUCAGACCUACUAACCACAAGCUCAGUGAUUUUAUCAAAAUAUAACUGCAUUAAUUCAGAAGCAAGGUCAAUUACAGAACUUCAAAGUGAGAAAAUAUCAAAAUUGCUUCAUAGAAAACUUUGAUCUACCUGGAGCUCCCUAGACAGGACAUGUUUAACGGGUAACCUUAUGUCAACAGGAAGUCCAUCUUCUUUUUGCUCUGGCAGUUUUGUUUCAGAAGGAGCUCUAAUAACUGCAAAUGAAAAACAUAUAAAUAUCUGCAAGCACUAUCACCGUGGUUGUACAAACUAGAACUUGAAGACUAGAAUUACUUGUAUGCUCCAAAUUAUCAGAGGAAGAGUCACACAAGGUGCCUUUUUCCUUGAUCUCCCCUAGAUUGCCAAUUAAUUGAAAAUCAUUUUUGAAGCUUAGGCAUAUACUUCCAAUGAUACGCUAAAGCGUGGGUCAAACUGAUGCUUAUUAUUGUGAAACACUUGAAUACAGACAAACAUUAGAUGCUUUCAGAUGUAAAGUGCCAUAUGCACAGAAUCAAGUACAACUGCAUCAGAAAAAGCAGUUUGACCAGAGAAAAUGUUAAGAUCAGGAUACUCCAAUUUGUGCCUUGAGUUUUCUGGGUUUUAGACUCUUCCUCUGAUCAUUCAUUAUGUUAGGUCAGCCAAAAGUUGCCUCCACUUCUUGCACCCCAUGGGAAUUGAAUUCCUUGUUAAGGGUACCGGCUGAAAGCACAAUGCUUUGAUACAAUGGCUGCAGCAUAUCUUCCUCUGCCUUAGCUAAGUCACAAAUAUCUGGUCAGACAUUUAUGUUUCCUAAAGGAGGUUUUAACCAGAGAUGCAGUUCUAGCUAAAGAGAAACAUAUGGCUUAUGUAGUCCUUAUUAGCAUCAACCUUUACAUGGACUAUACAGUUUCUCUGACCCAUAAUAAUGUAAAAAGUGUAAAUAUAGAAAAAGAAAAAACUAUUGCAAUAUAAGCCAGACCUUCUACUGGAGCAUUUUCUGAAAUAGCAGGUUUUAACCAGAGAUGCAGUUCUAGCUAAAGAGAAACAUAUGGCUUAUGUAGUCCUUAUUAGCAUCAACCUUUACAUGGACUAAACAGUUUCUCUAACCCAUAAUAAUGUAAAAGUGUAAAUAUAGAAAAAGAAAAAACUAUUGCAAUAUAAGGCAGAGACCUUCUACUGGAGCAUUUUCUGGAAUAGCAGGUUGUACACCUUCAAUAGCGAGCCAGUGACAAACUACAGAACAAUCCAAGGGUGCUUUUGGUAAAGGAGCUUCAAUUACCUAGAUGCAAGUAAUAUACAGUUUAAAAGAGUAUAAGCGGGCUAGGAAACAUGUAAAAGGGAUUUCAAUAAUUUACAUCAGGAGACUGCUUACAUCUUUAAAAUCCACAUCUUUGUCAUCAACAUAAAACAAGUCCCUGUGUCCAAGUGCUCUUCUGAACCGCAAAGGAUCCCCAGACCCAGAGGCAAAGCCAUAAAUUGGCUGUGGAAAGAGUAAUAAACAAAACCAAACUAAAAUCAAUGAUGCUUGAAAACUGGCCAGAAUACAUUGCACGAAGUUCUCUACCCAACUUCCAGCUGAGUAAAACAUUGAAACUUAUUAUUUAGUAGAGCAGCAAAAAUCAUGUGAACUCUAGAUUCAAUGAAAUCCAUGGAAAUCUAGAUCGGCACUUAUUAUCUAGAGAUACAAUUUCAGAGGACCAUAAGACUUACAAGAAUUGUAUCAAUAACUUGAAACUGAGAAUCCAAAAGUUGAAAGCUUAAGCACUCUUUUGUUAUCAACAAAGACCAAAUGAACCAUUUAUAUCACGCGCAUUAAAUAUCUCCAAAUUUGAAGAUUCUCAACUUCACUACAUGGACUAAUAGAAUUAAUAAAACAUUUUAGUAAAUCAAUAUGAUUGAUUGAAUUGAGUUGGAGGGGCCCAUGAUGGAAGACAAAGAACUUGUAGGCUUCAACAGAUACAGUUGGGCAAUAUGCUGAAUCACAACUCUGUAAUGGUGUCAGCAUAGUGCUAAUGCUACACAGUCAGGACACAUGCAUUCAAACAGAUAAGGAAUGCAUUACAUGGUCACAUAGCUGAAAUGAAAACAAUAUUUUGUGCAUUGACAAGUCUUUCAAUAAAGGGUCACUUUCAUAGUAAGUGAUUAAUCAUUUAGAAGUUAGUAACUAGAUCUAUGCGAAACGGAUGGUACAGAACCAAGUCAGUGUAGAUGAAGUUUAACAAGAUUUAUUUCAAGUGUUCAAUGGACAUCAAAAUAUGACUUAUUUGAUGAAAUGACAUUUAGAUAAGUUUACCACUCAUGAGUAAACAUGAUAGCACACUUCCCUAAAAGACUAUACGCAGCAAUGAUAUCAUCCACAAGCUAGAGUAAAGACUUGCUGUAAAAGCAGAAGAUAUAGAUGUUGUCCACUAAUCAAUAUCUGGCCCAGUAUGCCUAAUUGUGUAUCAAGCUAAUGCAUGCAUCUGGGGAUGGAAGACCCAAAUCAUUUACAAUAUUUAUCUCGGUCCUGGACAAGUACUAAGGCCAAUUCCUUUAACUUCCCAUUCAUUAAAAAAAAUUUAGAAUUAAAGCCAAGCUAGGAAAUGAAUAAAUGUUAUCAAGUCCUACUAAGGUAAAGUGGAUUUCACGAUGAAGACAAUUUUGAUAGCUGAGUAGAAGGUCCUGACGUCAAAAUAGUGGUACAGCUGAUAUUUUAAAGAAUAGCAGGACGUUAGGACCAUAAAAGCAGCAGCAUCCGAUUUUCAUCUUCCAUUGAGGUUUAGCUGGCUGCAAGAUCCAAAUCAAAAUUGAGAGGUUUACUAAUUAUAAUCUCAAACCAUAUUGUUCUGUUCAUGUUAUUGAUAAUUGCUAUGCAUGUUUUCUUAUAAAGAUAAAAGAAAAUCAUGAUAGAACUAACUGACUCUUUUUCGUUGUCCACACACAAACAAUCUACAAUAGUGUUGUUCUGUAUUAAUUCCUAGCACUGCAGAAUCUCCAUAACCAAUUAACUAUUUUACUCAACUCAUAAUGGAGGCAUCGUCUAGUCAAUAGUUGAUCGUCUGCUAUCAACGGGAGGUCAUAAUUUGCCAGAUUGCUAUAGUUCAUGGAACGUUUUGAAUCUGGAUCUGGAUUGCCACUUGAAGCUAGAGUUAGGUUUUUUCAGACUAUGCAGAUGCUAUGCAUUCAAAAACCAUAAAUCACGAUCAUAUUAUAAAAGAGAUCAUAGCUGUAUGCCCAGAGCUAAGAGCUAGAUGAAUAACCGCUGAACUAACUGCUGUCCACAAAACCUUAAACUAAGUUGAAAACAAAAACCUACUACCAAGGGGGUUAUUAAGCAGUCAAACAUCCCUAUGAAAUCCAAUGUGGGGAAUGAGAUAUUAUAUUCACUUCUUAAGACCUUGCACUCUCUCAACUGCCAAUUGAACGUCCAGAGUGGACUAGGUUGUGUAAGUAUUGUAGAGGUACUUAUAUGGGCUCUAGAAUAGGCUCCUAUCCUAAACCCUCAAGCAACAUAGCUUGCCAACACCACUCGCCCAGUCACUGCCAACACCAGAUUCACUUUAAAUGUCAAGUGUAACCAGAGGACAGGAUUGGUCCAAUAACUUUUGAAGCUAGACUAAAGCCCAAAAAUCUUAAACCAUGUUACCAGUACGUGAGCAGCCUAGAUUAAGAAAACAAACACCCUUAGGUAUUUGGCAUGAAACACAGAACUUUACACUCACUUUACCAUGAUCAAGUAUUAGAGACCGCCUUUAAGUGUAGUAGUUAUCACUAUAUGUAAUUCUGACAGCUAACACUCAGGGUAAUCAUUCCAAAAAUGUUGAAUAAAUUACAUUGGUUACUUUUUAUGGAAGACACACAUUAACAUGAGGUUUGCCACUUUAAUGUCCAUAUUUAGCAAUCUAAAAUUGCUAAUGAGACAUAUUCCUUUGUCCAAUAAUAAUUGUCAAUUCACUAUUUUGUUGAUAUCCCUGGUAACUUUUGGAGCACAUCAUUGUGCAACUCUCCGUGUGAAGAUCUUCUAUGGCAUGAAUAUCGUACAGCAAAUAUAACCAGCGUAGUAGAACCCUCUUUUCAUUUUAAUUUCUCAAUGACCCCAAAGAUCUCAUCAACCUUGCAUCACUUUUAUGAGUGUGCUUUUCAUGUAUAGUCUACCAAACUUGAGCCUGUGGUAAUUACUCGAUCGCCCACUAUUUCCGUCUUGCAAAAGUGCAUCAUAUGUCUCAGCAAAUUAAAUGAGUAUGACAACUACCAAUAAAAAUCAGAUGGAUGUGAGAUACAAAGAACUAGCACAUAUCAUGUCCAUGCAAAGCUGAAUUUUUUGCUAAAACUCUUCAAUUAUUAAAACCAGAUGCUCUAAUUCAUCAAUAAUGAAUCAUAGAAAUAACUAACUAACAUAAACUCGAGAAAUAAGUGGCCAAAUAUCAAAGCAUGAUCUAUUUAAAGGACUUGUCUAACCUACAUACAUAUGCAUCUUAGAGACAUCAAGAACCAACCUGAUACACUCUAAAUCUAACAACGAAUAUUCUUCACUUGCCUGGUACUUUAACAGAAUUCGGUUCUCACAGUUCCUUUACAUUGUGAUCUUCUUUUGAAGAUUCAUAACUCAUGCAUACCAACAACCACAUCAACAGACCUAUUCUUUUUAUAAUUGUCUAUAUACUUCUCUCAAUCUCACUGGCACAAGCCAAUAGAUACACAACCGAUGAGAGAGACAUACAAACACAAUCCAGUGUGCACAUUGAUCCUUCUUAAUUUUUAUUGUUUCCCAGGUUACUCCUACAAACAACAAAUCAAUUACCAAAUUAGACAACAUGAAUAUCUUCAAUUAAAUGCCGAGAAGGCCUUGGUCUAGUGGCUAAGGAUGAGGCCUCAGAACCUAUAGGUUCUGGGUUCAAAUCCCCCUUCCCCCUCCCCACUUCUUAAAUCCCAUCCCUUCCCUGCUGGAAAAAAAUUAGAAAAAUCUUCAAUUAAAUAAAGACAAAGGAUGACAGGAUAGAAAGAAAACCAAUUGUCUAUAAAGGCUGGAAGUAAAUCUAGAACCCCAAAUAUAUACUGCAGUACUCCUCAAACACAAAAGAGCUACUAAGAAGGCAAGUACAAAAUUAAUACUCAGUAGUAAACUUCUCUAUAAUACUUUUGAUCAAAUAUAACGACAAAAUAUACUGGAAUAAGUAAUCAUUCACUCUAGCAGUAGAACCAUGCAAAUCAAGUUAGAUCAGCUUCCGAGUGAGAUACUAAAAUCUUAUGAAUAAUUGGCAAGAAUUGAACAAGUCAUAAACCACGAUGUUGAUGAAUAUAUGACAAGGUAAAAUUAUUAUUCCACUAUCAUAGAUGUACUGAGGAUGGAAACUACCUCAACAUUCCGUAAUCUGAGUGCACUAUCAACAUCUUCCGUUGUCAACAAAUUUCUCUUGGAAUGGCGCAUGCAUUUGAUGGCUUCCUUCAAUUACAUGACAAGAAGCACAUUUAGAUUUCACUGAAACACGUUCUUCAACUUCGAAAGGCCUCACAUGAAUAAGUAAAGUCAGGGCCAUACUUCAGUUCACAACCCAAAAAACACAGAAUGAAACUAAUCUAGGGUUUACUUCGCCUAUCAUUUGCUCAUAAACAAAAAAGUCAUCACUAGCUUUACUGGACAUUUCUCACCACCAACUCAUGCCUGUCACCAUUUUGCAACUUGUUGCAUUUCACCAGUAUGACCACUAAAAUGUUUUAAAGAAUAGGCUAUACAAACCUCUUUCAUACCUAUUAGAAAACUACCAGACAAAAUCAUUUUGUAGGUUCAUGCAUGCACAAACUCCAAUGAGCAGCACGACAACCGGUCACCCAUCAAGAAAAGGGAGGGAAGAAAACACAAAGCUUUUACAUUAUCAAGGAGUUUGAUCUAUUACGAGACACAUAUCAAGUGGAUGUCUACAAAUGGAGAUGUGCCUCAGAAUAUGCACAUCAAAUGGCAAAAGUAUCAUAAAAGAUUAUAUUAAACUCUACAGUAGUGAUUUAUAUGAUGGGGUCCAAUUCACCAUGCUUAAUGAGUAAGGUGAACCAGAAAGAGAUAGAAGGGUAAUAGGACAUUUGCUUCAUGCCAUUUUUCCCUAGAGCCCGUGAAUCGACUCUUUAAUACAUUCACAGUUUUCAACUAGCAGCAAAGGAACAGGGUAGUGGUUAUUAUCUGUCAUGUUGGUAUAGCCAUGUCAACCUUAUACAUGGGAGAAAAGGAAAUGGAAGAAAUGACAAAAAAUGAGAAAGGAUCAGCAGCACAGGCCAGCACAUUUCCUUAAGCACCAAAACUUGGUUUUCCCUCCAUUUGCAGUAUUGACAGCUUUGUUUUCUACCAUCAACAAGCUUUACUUUCCUUGCUUUGUCAUCCCCAUAAAUUCAGUAACAUGGUAGCAUCUCUUCUACUACAGUCAUUAAAGGAAAAAAGGCCACAAAUUCAGUGAAAACCUAAACGUCAUCUCUUUCUUCCUUCUUGCAUCUCGCACAAUACACAAAUCUUGUUUAUUUGUAGGUCUCUGCAUAUUAACGUAUGUAAUCUACUUACACAUCUACAGUCCAUGAUUUCUCAGUCAAGAAUUCUAGUCACUAACCUAUUGUAACAAAGCUUAUAUUUUGCAUACAAUUGACGUCAAAAAAAUGAUUAACAACCCAAAAUCAGAAAUUUAAAUGCAGAAAGCGCAUCAAAAUCAAUAACAUAUUUAAUCAAACACGACUAGUUUUCUCUAAAUUAACACACAUGUAAAUAAAAAUUUUUUUAAAAAAAAAAAGAAGUGCAAGAAACUUCUUCAGAUAUUAAUCAGUCAUUUCCUCUUUUCUUUCCUUUUCAUUAUUCCCAACUUUUCCCAACAUUUCCAUGCAGCAGAAACAGAGACACCCACAACAUCUUCAUGCCAUAUACAGCUUAAAUUCCUAAUUAGGCAGAAAAAAAAAAAAAAAACUAAACAAAAAAGUGAAGCCCAGAAAACAAAUUUAAGGAAAAAGACCUGCAUGAUUUCGCGCAAGCGGUAUUCGACAUCAGGAGCAAGAGCAAGGGCAGCAUCUGGGGACAAGUUGUUUAUCCCAAUGCUUUGCGCAGUGACUUCAAUCGUCUCCUUUGGAACUAUACUCAUCCUUUCCCUUAUCCCUUUUUUCUAAUUACUCAAAAAUUUUGAACUGCAUUUAUGAAUUUCUGUUCAAGAAGAUACAGAGUUGAGGCUUUGGAGGAGAAAGAAAUUGCAAAGGGUUCAGUGAAGCAAUCUUCCAAUCGUCUCGUUAGUCUGUGAGAAGUUUAAUUAAGGGGCCGUUAAUUGCACUGCUUUGGACCUUGAACUAAUUGCGAUUAGCAUUUUGCGUCUUCAAAUAUCAACUAGAAUUUUGACCGACGGUCUUUUUUUUUUAUUAUUAUGAAUUUAUAUAAAUAUAAAUAAUUUAAAUAUAAAAGUUAAUAACAAUUCUACAUGUUCAUCUACAUUAAUUUUAAAAAAUUAAUGUAUUCUAAAUGUUCAAUUAUUUACUAAUUUUUAAAAAUUUGUUUACAUACUUUCACUAUAAUAUGAUAGUAUAAAUCAAAUCAUGUAUCCUAUAUAAAAAAUUUGGUAGAUUUUUUUUACAUAUAUUCUUUUAAAUAAUUUAAAUUUUUAUAAUGAUCAUAAAUCUAGAACUAUUUAUUCAUAUUUAAUUAAGUAGAAAAAAUCUAGCAAUUCAUUUUUCUUCAUCAAUAAAUAUUCAGUUUCCAACAAUAUUGGUAAAUCUAUUAGUGCAACAGUUAAUUUUCAUUUUUACACUAAAUUAAUUCAAAAUUAAAGGAAGAAAUGAUGAACAAUUUGAAUAUUAAUUAACGGUGUGGUGAUGAAAGGAAGUAAUUUAGAAUAUGUAAGAUUUCAAUAAUUGUGAUUAAGGAAGUAAUUUGGGAUAUAUAAGAUUUCAAUAAUUGUGAUUUGAAAAAGGUUUUACUAGAGUUUUAUAUGUAAUAAUUUGAUAGAAUAAGAUAAGAUUAGUUGUUUUUUAAAAUAAUAUCUUUAAAAUAAAAUUAGUUAUUUUUAAAGUUAUUUUAAAAUUAGAAAUAAUUUUUAAACAUAUAAUAUAAUCCAAUUAGGAUUUAAUAUAAGUAAAACCCAAGUGACUUAUAACCCAUUAAUUCUUUUCAAUUAAACAUACCACGUAGGAGUGAAAAAUAAUUCUAAUUAAAAUAGCUACUUUUAUACAUACAUAUAUAUAUAUAUAUAUAUAUAUAUAUAUAUAUAUAUAUAUAUAUAUAUAUAUAUAUAUAUAUAUUAUAGCAUUAUGACCUCCCCCAAAUAUUUUUGUGAAGUAGUUCAUUUACGUAAAUAGGAAACUACAUUUCGUUGGCCUAUUUGGAGGCGGAGGAAGUUAAGAGAUGGUCUUUCCACAUAUAUUAGGAGGCAUAAACUACGCGUUACGUGGUGAGAUGGUAGUGUGCCCUGCCCUGUUUGAAAUAAAGUGCAUAAAGUGCAAAAGCAAAUACGCAAAAGAAUAAAGAAAAACUAUACUUUGUGGUAACCAUUGCUUCAUACAGAAAUCAAAUGCAAAACAAACUUUCAGAACUAUAUAUUAGUUACAAAAAAGGAGGCAUUAAAGCAAAGAAAUAAAUACUAGAGAAAUUCAUUUUCAAUGAUUUAACAGCCUUUUGUUCACAAGGCUACAUAAUUAUAGCCAUUUCUUAGACAUCAAAUGUGUGAUGCCACGGAUACAUUUUCUCAACUCCAUUGUUGUCAAAAAUUAUAACAAUAAAAGAAAUAGAAGGCUAUGAAAUAAAAACAAGCGCUUUGCUUCUUCAACACUAUGCUCAACUACAAAGGCAUUCCAUUUCUCGUGGAGCUUUUUGCUAGAUAGUCCAAUGUAGUAAGUUUUAGUUCCACUGCUAAAAACAAUUAAUGGAGUGCGCUUUUCUUCUAAUUUGAAAGUAGUAAACUCUGGAAUUUUCUACAAGCAAACAAUGUGUAAGGCUUGAUCAUCAAACAAGAAACUCAUAGAUGUAUAUCAAAUUGACACAAGCAAACUCUAUACCAUCUUAUACUUUGAAGAAAAAAUUUGAUAGAAAGUGUCGCAGUCCAUCACAUCAUGAUGUAAGAAUCUAUUUAUAGAUGAGAUAACCAUCAUAGAGAUCUCAUUUUCAAGAAUGCCACUUGGUUCAUGAGAAAGCAUUGGAAGAAGAUCCGUGCACCUCAAAUAGAUAAGUUGCAGUGAAGUAUAAAAUCCCAUUCCAUCAUAUGUGAAAUUCCCUCUAUUACAGAGAAAUAUCAUGUGAUCCUUCUUUAUCAAAGUGUCUUUGCAGUAGACGCUCCUUCUUUCAUCAAAGUUUCCAUCCUUUAUAGUUAAAUUCCAAUGAGAAAUGCUAUGACAAAUUGUGAUGAUUUUAUCAUUAUGGAAUCCAUUUGAGUCAUAGAUUACAGAUGGAACUUUCUGUUGCAUGAUAGUAAGAUUAGAUGUAGUUUCAGAUUAACAAGUGAAGCUAAGGUUAGAAUGAGAACUUGUUUGCUUGUAUUUGUAUAAAAUAUUAUAUAACACCAUGGCUUCCCCUCAAUGCCUUCUCCAGUUUUACUUGUUUCAAUACUACAACAGCAUUACAAAAAGAAUAACAUUAUGGCUUAAGUGUAUACAGAAUGUAGUUGGUGCAUAUUUGAGAUAAAUACAAAGUACCUUGAGCUUUAAACGUAGAACUAAUAUGGAGGAUGUUUUGUAACCAUUGCUGAAUUGAUUCAACUGAGUACAAAAAUGGUUCUCCCAAGUAUUCUAAUAACAUAGGAUAUUCGUCAAAAAGCUUUCGCUUAGCAUAGUAUAUUGGUUUUUCAUUUGCUUUCAUAACAGUAGUUGUUGCAUGAACUUGACGAUUUAUGUGUGCACAAAGAUAGAAUCGAAUCUUUUCAUUUUCUUGAAUAGCUUCCCAUUUUUUAAAUGGAUUUUGUGGUUUAUACAUUCCUUACAAGAGACCCUUAAAGCACAAUAAGUAUUGCAAGAAAAUGAAUUUACUAUCAACACAAAUUUGCUGCUGAAAAGAAAUAUGUUAUAGAGGAAUGUGAUGCUAGAAAAUAAAGAAUGAAAGAACUAAGACUUUUCAUUGAAAGAGUGUGCAAAGGAUUUAUAUACCAGAAAAUUCUCAUUUGAUAUAUACAUGUAGAUAAAUGACAUUAAUAUGACAGGCAUUGUGACAGUGGAGUAUGGAUGUAAAUGAAUAAAUUUGCCAUAAAGGCUCUGUUCUAUUGCUCAUUUGAACACAAUUGAAGUGACAAGAUGCAGCUUCAUUACUUCUGUUUAUAAUAAACUGAUGAUGCUACAGACAUACUGAUUAUUUAAUUGCUAGCUAAAGAGGAAAAAGGUAGAUGGUGGUUGUAUUCUGAUUUAGAGUGCUUCAAAUGAUCACAAAAAAUCAAAUAGUAUUUUUUCUUUUUACAUUUUGUUGUAUAGACACUUGUAGACAAUGGAAUUUUAAUUAAUUUUUAAAAUUACCAUUGGUCUAUAAAUUAUUUUUGUGGCUUAUUUCUAUCCAAUUGGGUAUUGCCAUAUGUCAUGUACACUUGGAAGAUUUGGUUAUUAAAUGGCCAAUUAUAUUUUGCCACGUGUCAAGUUGAGGUGUUCCAAAUCAAUUCAAAUUGCAGGAAUAUCUCCACCAACCAAAUCAUAUCAUGUCACAUGUCUAUUGGAUAAAUAUCUAAAUAUUUAUUUCUUAUUAAAGGGAUAAUAUUUAGAGUUAUUUAAUCCAAGUAUAUUUCUUAUAUACUGCAAUAGCUUGGCCAGUCAAACGGCGCCACGUCACGUGUCCCCACGAGUUUGGCCAAUCGAUGAAUUACUUAUCUCUUUAUUAAUAAAUAUAAAAUGAAGAGAUAAUAUUUGACUGGCACAGUCCUAAUAUGACUGCACGUCUUGUAAGACAAGUAAAGUGGUACACAAGUCUUCAGCCUCUACCUUUUGCUACAGCUAUAAAUAAGGAUUUCUCUACCAAGUCAGAUACACAGAAACACCAAGAGGCAUCUCACACGCUCAAAGCAUUGAAGCUCCAAGCUACAAAGGUCCGGAUCUUCAAGCUCUCCAAGUCUCCCAUAAAUCAAGACUUGAGUCUUCAAAUAUCUUCAAAAGUUCUUCAAAUCUUCUAUAUCAAGAUUUGAAGGAAUCGGUGGUGGAUCCAAGAACAAGCUGUGAAACCCUUGGAUUGGCGUUCGAGGAGGAGAAUCGAGGGAAACUCUCCACAAGUUCGAGAAAAACCCAGAGAUUGUACUCACAUAUUUUUCUUAAAUUUAUAUAUCACAUAUUUGUCGUGUAUAUUUCUUGUUUCUGCAUAUUUUAAAUUUUAUCGCGUACAACACUUAAGGCAAUAAACAUGAUUUAUGAUGCCAUUAAGCAUGCUUGUAUGAGAAUAUGAAGACUAAACACUGAAGAAAAUGAGCAAAUUGUAAUAAAUUGAUUAGGGACAAGAAGAUACAAAUUAUAACUUUGUGCAUCUAUUCAAAGAUACUGAUUUGCCGGCUAAUUAAUAUUGGGCCAAAGGAAAAAAAAUAGUCCAUUAAUUUGAAAAAGGUAGCUUUAUUUUUCUAUGUUGAUUCAGGAUAGCACUACUGCUAAAGUUAUUGAAAUAAUGACUUUUUUUGAAGAAAAAAAAAAAGAAAAUGAAAGGCAAACCACAUAAAAGAUAGCAGAGUUUCCUGCAAUGAUUUAACAUCCAUGGUAUUUAACUACACAAAUUAGACUAUCGAAAUUUGACCUAAAAGAUGGCAUUUCUCAGAGUACUAGUCUACCAUAAUUAAUUGAUGAGCCAUUUUGAAGAGCCACAACACUUGUGUGAGCAUAUUUCCUCUCCAUGAUUAAAAGUAUAAGAAUUUAGUAUUAGCAUGUGUCGCGCCCCAUUUUAAAAAAAAAAAAAAUUAUGAGUUGUAAAAAUGAAUUUUUUGAUUAAUUUUGAGUGAAAAUGAGUUUUUGAUUUUUAGAGAAUAAAUAAAAAAAAAGGGCCUAAAAUGAGACUUAAAAAGUGCGACGGUUUUGACCCAAAAUAAUAGUCUAAAAAGGGUUUUUAAAACAAAUAGGAGUCGCCACUUGUUAUUGAGUUAAGGUGUACCAAGUCACCUAAAGACGAAUUUUUAAAUAAAAAAUAGAGAAAACCUUUUUUAGACGACUCCAAGUCUUCAAAACACAAGAGAAAAGGGCUCAGGAGUCACGGUUGAAAAAAGAGAAGGUAAGGAUAAAAUCCAAUGCACCUUUUCAAUCUAGCCAAGACUAGUUGCAUGAUUUAGUCAAAUUUUUUUUUAAUUUAACCUAUAAAACUUAUCACAUUUGGAUGUUACUAUAUGGAUGCAAAUCUAAACCUAAUGGAUAUCAGGAGGGUCAAAAUAUUUUUUCAAAGUUUAAUUGGUACGAAUCACAUUAAUUGUGAUGCCCAAAAUGAUUUUUAGAAAAUGUCACGAAUAUGCAAAGAGUGAGACUCAAAGAAAAGAAAAAUUAUAAUAUAUAAGUAUACGUGACCUAAAAGAGGAAUGCAACAUAACGGGUACGGAGGACUAAUAUUUGUGACUCAAUUUUCCUUUUUAUAGAGAAGAUACGAGCAUGCUAAAGCUAAGAAGCCAUACUCGUCCAUUUCCCAUAUUUGAAGGGUAACUCUCCUAAUCCUAGUCAAGCAAAUGAACUAACCUAUGUCUAAUUUCCUAAAAUGGAAUGCAAGUCUAAAUGUUAUCUUUCGCACAUAGGGAUAAGAGAUAUACAUAUAGAAGAAAUAUCAUGCAAAAUGGUAAGGAUCCUAAAAAGUAGAAAAUAUGCAUGAAAUGUAGUGAUUGUCACGCAAACAUGAUCUAGCGCGUAGACGGUUCCUAAGAAUCUAGCAUUGGAUUAGCCCAUGUCUAUAAGUUUUCACUAGCGUUGGACUAGUGAGUAAUCGGGGGGAAAAACCAUAACUAGCGUUGGACUAGUGUGGUGACGUCAUACAUUUAUUAUAACUAAAUAAAUCAUAUAAAGUAUAAUUAAACCAAGUAAACACAUAAUGCACAUAACACGUAGGCAUGAUAUCUAGAUGCAAAGGCCCUAAAGAAAGCGAAUAAACACAUAAGCACACAAGCAUGCAAGCACACAAACAAAUAGACGCAAAUAAAAGCCUAAUUAUUACAUUCGGGGCUCUAACUACAAUCUAAGGGGGGGAAAUUAGAAUAAUAAUAACCUAACUAUUACAUUUAUCUAACUAAUUACAUUUUGGCAAAAUUAAAACCUAUCUAUUACAUAGCCUAACUAAAUAUAUGUCUUGAACUCCUAUCUAUUAUAAUUUGGCAUUUAAAUGCCUCACAAAUAAUUAUCAAAAUUAAAUAAAACAAAUGAAACUUAUAAUGAAUAAAAAUGAAUAAUAACGAAUAAAAGAAAAAAAAUUCAAAACAUGCAAUUGCACAUAAAACACAUUGGAGCACAUAAAAGAAUUUAAAAUAAUAAAAGAGAUUACCUCUCUCGAAGUUGUGGUUAAGUGGGAUGAAAUUUGCCAUAAUUAUGCUCCAAAAUCAACAAAAUAAUUUAGGCACCAAUUUAAUUAUAAAUAAAUGGAAAUAACCAUGAAAUCUACCAAUUAAAGCACUUAAAUGAAGUAGAAUUAACAAUUAAAGAAGAAAGGUAACUUAUAUUUAAGAAAUCAAAACUAUUAGGGACUUAAUUGCAAAAAUUAAGAAAGUUUUGGAGGUCAAAUUACAAUUAUUACAAAAUUUAUGGUUUAAAAUGAAAGAAAAAUAAAGUUUAAAGACCAAAUUGAAAUUAAAAAUAGGGACCUAAUAGAAAUAAAUCUAAAGUUUUUAGGGCCAUAAUAUAAUUACAGAAAGGUAUAGGGACUAAUUUGAAAUUUCGUUACCAGAUUACUUGAGCAGAAGGCCAUUGGACCAUUUUCAGCAUUUCUUUGGGCUAAAGGCCACUUGGCCCGACAGAAAGCCCUAAGAAAAAAGAAUAGGCUAAGCCUACUCCUUUUACCAAAUCAGCUCAAUAACAUUGCAUGGGCUUUCAUUCUCAAGUCCAAGCCAAAAAUCCAGAAAAAAUAAACCAACAACCCAUUACCCUAAACCCAAACAAAAUAACCUUCUACCCAAACCAACCUGUUUUUAUUAAGACCUAACAUGAUAAAAGAUAUCAACUAAAAAUUACUUAACCAUAAUUAUGUCCUAAAAUCCAGAACUAAUCUAUCAAAAAACAUGCUCAAAAUAUAAGAAAAAAAUUGAAUUUUAAAAGGGUAAAAUUGAUUGAUUUUUCCAAUUUUUGGGCCAUAUUAGAAUUAACUAAAAGUUAAGGGGCCAAAACGAAAAUUUCAAAAGUUUUCAUGCAGCCUUGUACGAAGAAGCUUUCUCCUUUCUGCAAAUUCGGAAGCUUUCUUGCUGGAGUUUUCUUAGCAGCUUAUUCAACACAAGUAUUCAUGCAAAACUCAAACAGAAUCUCUGAAUUUAUCAGCUAAAACCCAACAAGAAUCCCAAUCCAACAAGAAAAUAACAGAAAAACAUGAAAUUAAAGGCUCAAAAUCCCCUCUUCCUUUAGAUUCACAAGUAGAAAGAAAAGCAACCGGCUUUUAUCCAUGGGUUCCAAACAAAACCCGAAAUGUAACUUUGAUUGCGAACCACAGAGCUUACACAUCCACAUUUACUUCCAAAAUUUUGUCAUCUUCUAUUCAAACUAGAUGUAUCAGACCCAACAAAAACAUAGAACCCGUACUAUAAACCCAUGAAAGCAUAAUCUGAGAAAAUGUUCUCUUUUGAUGAGUUAAAGAUUUUUCCUUUGUGGAUUGCAGCAAGCAAAGGAAAGAUUAAGAGUUACCUUCGAUGUUUACAGACAGAGAAAUUGAGAAAAGUGGAAUUCAAAGCUCAAAUCUGGAAGCCAGGAACUUUGUUGCAGAAACUUUAAGAAUGAUAAAGGUAACAGGUUCAAGCCCGGAUUUGGAGAUGUUGCAGAGGUUUUUUCUAAAAAAUUCCAACACAAAAUCUUCUCCUCGAUCAACUUAGAUUUCCCAGAAAAAGAAAUCUUCCCACGAGAAGCUCUAGGGGGAUCGAAAUGAAGCAGGGAAAGUGACUGAAUCACCAACCCUGGCUCAGUUUUUCUAAAAGAUUUUUCCUGCACUUUUUCUUCCUCUUUUCUCUCGUUUUCUCUCUUUCUUUGCUGUUUUUCUCUCCUUUUGAUCUCUCCGCCACCCCUCUUCUCUACCCC
Molecule: long non-coding RNA, 23095 nt
Filed under: Coffea arabica (coffee)
Lineage: Eukaryota; Viridiplantae; Streptophyta; Magnoliopsida; Gentianales; Rubiaceae
Description: long non-coding RNA (CARA_LNC003469)
Source: RNAcentral